GGCUUUGUAUGUUGUGGUUAGAACGCUGGCCUUGUAAUCCUGGGGUCUCGGGUUCGAUUCCCGGCGGUGCCC
Molecule: transfer RNA, 72 nt
Filed under: Zootermopsis nevadensis
Lineage: Eukaryota; Metazoa; Arthropoda; Insecta; Blattodea; Termopsidae
Rfam family: tRNA
About the family: Transfer RNA (tRNA) molecules are approximately 80 nucleotides in length. Their secondary structure includes four short double-helical elements and three loops (D, anti-codon, and T loops).
Source: Rfam by way of RNAcentral